Molecule: transfer-messenger RNA, 363 nt
Filed under: Salmonella enterica
Lineage: Bacteria; Pseudomonadati; Pseudomonadota; Gammaproteobacteria; Enterobacterales; Enterobacteriaceae
Also listed under: 5 other names
Description: Standard tmRNA
Rfam family: transfer-messenger RNA
About the family: Bacterial tmRNA, also known as 10Sa RNA or SsrA, is named for its dual tRNA and mRNA-like properties. Its role is to liberate the mRNA from a stalled ribosome.
Source: RNAcentral
GGGGCUGAUUCUGGAUUCGACGGGAUUUGCGAAACCCAAGGUGCAUGCCGAGGGGCGGUUGGCCUCGUAAAAAGCCGCAAAAAAAUAGUCGCAAACGACGAAAACUACGCUUUAGCAGCUUAAUAACCUGCUUAGAGCCCUCUCUCCCUAGCCUCCGCUCUUAGGACGGGGAUCAAGAGAGGUCAAACCCAAAAGAGAUCGCGCGGAUGCCCUGCCUGGGGUUGAAGCGUUAAAACGAAUCAGGCUAGUCUGGUAGUGGCGUGUCCGUCCGCAGGUGCCAGGCGAAUAUAAAGACAGACUAAGCAUGUAGUACCGAGGAUGUAGGAAUUUCGGACGCGGGUUCAACUCCCGCCAGCUCCACCA